GCGGACGGCUGGAUGGCCGCACCCUUCGGGGUGAGGAAAGUCCGGACUCCAUGAAGCGACGGUGCCGGGUAACGCCCGGGCGGGGCGACCCGACGGAAAGCGCCACAGAAAACAGACCGCCUUCGCCUCGUGCGAGGGUCAGGGUGAAACGGUGGGGUAAGAGCCCACCGCGGGCCUGGCAACAGGACCGGCACGGCAAGCCCCACCGGGAGCAAUGCCGAAUAGGGAUCCCGCGGGGCACGGACCCCAAGGCGGCUUCAGCCCAGGGAUCCGGGUUGGCAGCAAGACCCCGUCCGCAAGGGCGGGGCUAGAUGAAUGGUCAUCCACGGGGGCAACCCCGGGACAGAAUCCGGCUUACAGGCCGUCCGCGCAC
Molecule: RNase P RNA, 373 nt
Filed under: Tranquillimonas alkanivorans
Lineage: Bacteria; Pseudomonadati; Pseudomonadota; Alphaproteobacteria; Rhodobacterales; Roseobacteraceae
Description: alpha proteobacterium A34 Bacterial RNase P class A
Rfam family: Bacterial RNase P class A
About the family: Ribonuclease P (RNase P) is a ubiquitous endoribonuclease, found in archaea, bacteria and eukarya as well as chloroplasts and mitochondria. Its best characterised activity is the generation of mature 5'-ends of tRNAs by cleaving the 5'-leader elements of precursor-tRNAs. Cellular RNase Ps are ribonucleoproteins.
Source: Rfam by way of RNAcentral